UGAAAGCAGGAUUCAAUGAUUUUGCUUUGAAUUUGCUGUAAUCAAAGCAAAAGAGGAACUGCUGGCUUGCCCUGAAACUAAGAAACUAAAACACGACAGCAUUUUGGAGAAUGGUGAAGCUGUUUGUGUGAAAUAGGUUAAGACUCAUUGUCCAGUGAGGACUUCAACAUUUGGCAAAUGAAUAUCACUUCGAGGAUAGAACAGAUACGAGGAAUAAAGCUAAAAACCGCAACUUUGCUUGACUUUUUCAUAUCUUCAAUCAUUUUUUCUUGGAACUCCACUAACAAUUGAAAAUGGCCAAAAUGCAUGAAUGAGGCCUUGAUACUGUGUUUGUCUCAUCUCUUUGUCGAUGCUUUAUUCUUGUCUGUACAUGUGAUUUAACAGGUAGACUAAAGCUCCUUUCUCCAAUGUAUUCCAUUCCUUAAGAUGCCAUUGAAGUCUUCCAUUCAUUUAUGAUUCCUUCUUCAUAUUCCUUAAUCAAUGGUGUUAGAUAUUGUUCUCAGCUUUUCUUACGAUGGUUAUUGACAAUUUAUCAUAAGGAGAUCUAAUGGCUGAAAAGCAAGUAACCAAGGAUGGAUAAUUAUUCUACACGCUACUAUAAAUUGAUCUAAAGGUCUUCAGACAGUAACCCUUUCCCCGAUUUCUUCUGUUCAUCUUUUACGACCACUAAUCAUUGCAUGCCUUGCUAGUUGUAUGAUCAAACAAUUGCUGGCCAGGUUACGUACUUUCUUGUGAUCCUUUUGAGUAUUCUCUUUCGCAAUCACUUGAACAUAUUGCUGGCCAUGCCGUUUCUCUUCGAGUUCAGAGAUCUCAGAUUAGAUUCUUCCAAUUUAACUUUCUUUUGCUUUUGGGUUUAUCUUUUAUGACUUCUCAUUGCUGCGUGACAUAUUUCUUGUGGAAUCUUUAAGUGUUGUGUGCAUUAGCAGAAAAUAAAAGGAAAAAAAUAAUCUUGACACGAUCCCAACGAAGAAGAGUUGAUUGCAAGAUUGUGGUCUGGGAAAAAAACUGAUUUCUUAAGCAAUAACGAUCUCAAAUUAACUUGCCUAAUUAUUGUAAUGCUAUCCGAUUGUAAUUCGCUGUGGUGAAGCUAUGCUUUCAUGCAUCAAAUUUUAUGCCAUUUGAUCACAGAGCAUACCGCUUGAUAGGCUAUGAACUCUAGAUUAAUAAAGUUCAGCAAUAUUCUUGCUCUGGUAGUCUAGGUCUACUUUAGCCAUGGAGACAAUAUAGUUGUGAAGUAAAUGAUUAGAAAGAUGAGAGAAGCAGAGUACUACACUAAUUAUAAGACUUCAUUAAAACCACACCAGAGGCCACAGACAUGGCCAAUACAUAACAAUGAAGAAGACACAAAGAUAAAGACACUCACGGACACUUUUGUUUGUUCACUCCACACCCACAAGUACAGAAGAACACAGAUUAUUUAUCAGAAAUUACAUUAUUAAUCCACUCCCAAUCCCACAUCAAACAUGAUAGUUGAUGUGCUUGCUUAAUGACCGCAUGUGCAGGUAGUGCAAGUGCAGCCAGUACCGCAGUUGCACUUGCCAUCGUUCUCAGCUGCUGGCACCUCCAUGACUACGGAGGAGACAUAGCUGCAAAAAGAAUUAGACUCCAUUGUAUUAGCAUCGUGUUCCCAUUUCCUUCAUUAUCAAUCUUAACUGACGAACCAAAAAUGUUUAGGAAUAAAGCAAUAUAUAUUAUUCAUUCUGCUUAUUAAUCAUCAGUGCAUGCUGAAGCUUCAAUCAUGUCUCUCAACGCUAAUUAAGACUACGACAACAGGACUUUAAAGAUAGAGAUGCGAAAGUUACUUCUUCUCAGUCUCGACGAUGCCAGCAGUGUAGCUGCUUCCCUUCUUGCUGCAAAUUAAUCACAAAUUGCAUGGCAUGAGAGAGCAGAUAGCAUAAUGUAUGCACGAAAGCCAUGCAGAAACAUGAACUACCUACUAUACAGCUUGCACAACAUAUAUAAACCAUAAACAAGCAAGAGCUGCUUAAUCAGGUUUGCAAAAGAAGGGGAAAAAAAGAAGAAGAAUUCUUACACACACUGGGUCUUGUCAGCGCAGUCGCAGGUGUCGCAGGUGCUAGACAUGAUGAUUGAUUGAUUAAGCUUAAAUGGAUGAACUAAAAGACUUGGAGUAUGAAUGUGUUCUCUGUGUAGCUUAAUGAGUUGUUAUAUCUUCAAGCCCUGCUCUAUUUAUAGAAGGAGAGAGCGCAUCAGUAAUGGCUGCGAUGAAGAGGAAGGGCAAUUGUGGGACCCUCUUAAGGCAUGAGAGAAGCACACUCUUCUCGAGGAAACGUCCGAAGGAAUCUUGA
This 2306-nucleotide long non-coding RNA is filed under the name Populus trichocarpa (black cottonwood). RNAcentral's name for it is "long non-coding RNA (PTRI_LNC000409)". The record is from RNAcentral. Lineage: Eukaryota; Viridiplantae; Streptophyta; Magnoliopsida; Malpighiales; Salicaceae.